AUUGAACACUGGCGGCAGGCCUAACACAUGCAAGUCGGACGGUAGCACAGAGGAGCUUGCUCCUCGGGUGACGAGUGGCGGACGGGUGAGUAAUGUCUGGGGAUCUGCCCGAUAGAGGGGGAUAACCACUGGAAACGGUGGCUAAUACCGCAUAACGUCGCAAGACCAAAGCGGGGGACCUUCGGGCCUCUCACUAUCGGAUGAACCCAGAUGGGAUUAGCUAGUAGGCGGGGUAACGGCCCACCUAGGCGACGAUCCCUAGCUGGUCUGAGAGGAUGACCAGCCACACUGGAACUGAGACACGGUCCAGACUCCUACGGGAGGCAGCAGUGGGGAAUAUUGCACAAUGGGCGCAAGCCUGAUGCAGCCAUGCCGCGUGUAUGAAGAAGGCCUUCGGGUUGUAAAGUACUUUCAGCGGGGAGGAAGGCGAUGUGGUUAAUAACCGCGUCGAUUGACGUUACCCGCAGAAGAAGCACCGGCUAACUCCGUGCCAGCAGCCGCCGUAA
RNAcentral lists this ribosomal RNA (506 nucleotides) under uncultured bacterium. Its description in RNAcentral is "partial 16S ribosomal RNA". It matches the Rfam family "Bacterial small subunit ribosomal RNA", at positions 29 to 523 of the family's 1533-position model. The record is from RNAcentral.